This 444-nucleotide ribosomal RNA is filed under the name uncultured bacterium. Its description in RNAcentral is "partial 16S ribosomal RNA". It matches the Rfam family "Bacterial small subunit ribosomal RNA", at positions 354 to 796 of the family's 1533-position model. The record is from RNAcentral.
GUAGGGAAUAUUGGGCAAUGGUCGGAAGACUGACCCAGCCAUGCCGCGUGCAGGAAGACGGCCCUCUGGGUUGUAAACUGCUUUUAUCUGGGAAGAAAAAGGCCAUGCGUGGCAAAUUGCCGGUACCAGAUGAAUAAGCACCGGCUAACUCCGUGCCAGCAGCCGCGGUAAUACGGAGGGUGCGAGCGUUGUCCGGAUUUAUUGGGUUUAAAGGGUGCGUAGGCGGCUGAUUAAGUCAGCGGUGAAAGACUUCGGCUUAACCGGAGGAGUGCCGUUGAUACUGGUUGGCUUGAGUGUCGGAGGGGUACAUGGAAUUGAUGGUGUAGCGGUGAAAUGCAUAGAUACCAUCAGGAACACCGAUAGCGAAGGCAUUGUACUGGCCGACAACUGACGCUGAUGCACGAAAGUGUGGGGAUCGAACAGGAUUAGAAACCCUGGUAGUCC